CACAGAUCACAAGGACCAAGAGAGCCCAGCAUCCAAACACAUACUGCUGAAUUUCACACAAAGAUUUGGAGUGAACGUAAGUGAAGGCAAAGAAAAGAGAAUACAGAAGAAAGUGAUUAAACAAAGCAUGAGGACAUGUUUUCUUCUGGAAGUUUAGAAAGGUGGCAUUUUAACUCCAGAAAAUCAGGUUGGAUGCACACUAAAGACUCAAGUGCACACCAAAUGCACAAAAUUUUUAAAAAAGCACUGAAGAAAGAAGCACCCUUAAAAUCACCUGUAUUUGCAUCUUAUUUGUCUGAAACUUGCCUUUGACUUCCAACACACCUGCCAG
Molecule: non-coding RNA, 331 nt
Organism: Heterocephalus glaber (naked mole-rat)
Lineage: Eukaryota; Metazoa; Chordata; Mammalia; Rodentia; Bathyergidae
Source: RefSeq, a predicted model, not a curated record